Molecule: ribosomal RNA, 467 nt
Filed under: uncultured bacterium
Lineage: Bacteria
Description: partial 16S ribosomal RNA
Rfam family: Bacterial small subunit ribosomal RNA
Source: RNAcentral
GACGAACGCUGGCGGCGUGCUUAACACAUGCAAGUCGAACGGAAAGGCCCUGCUUUUGUGGGGUGCUCGAGUGGCGAACGGGUGAGUAACACGUGAGUAACCUGCCCUUGACUUUGGGAUAACUUCAGGAAACUGGGGCUAAUACCGGAUAGGAGCUCCUGCUGCAUGGUGGGGGUUGGAAAGUUUCGGCGGUUGGGGAUGGACUCGCGGCUUAUCAGCUUGUUGGUGGGGUAGUGGCUUACCAAGGCUUUGACGGGUAGCCGGCCUGAGAGGGUGACCGGCCACAGUGGGACUGAGAUACGGCCCAGACGCCUACGGGAGGCAGCAGUGGGGAAUAUUGCACAAUGGGCGGAAGCCUGAUGCAGCAACGCCGCGUGCGGGAUGACGGCCUUCGGGUUGUAAACCGCUUUCGCCUGUGACGAAGCGUGAGUGACGGUAAUGGGUAAAGAAGCACCGGCUAACUACGG